RNAcentral lists this small RNA (798 nucleotides) under uncultured Glomus. RNAcentral describes it as "SSU rRNA". It matches the Rfam family "Eukaryotic small subunit ribosomal RNA", at positions 314 to 1114 of the family's 1831-position model. The record is from RNAcentral. Lineage: Eukaryota; Fungi; Glomeromycota; Glomeromycetes; Glomerales; Glomeraceae.
AUCAACUUUCGAUGGUAGGAUAGAGGCCUACCAUGGUGGUAACGGGUAACGGGGUGUUAGGGCACGACACCGGAGAGGGAGCCUGAGAAACGGCUACCACAUCCAAGGAUGGCAGCAGGCGCGCAAAUUACCCAAUCCCGACACGGGGAGGUAGUGACAAUAAAUAACAAUACGGGGUUCUUACGGAUCUCGUAAUUGGAAUGAGUACAAUUUAAAUCUCUUAACGAGGAACAAUUGGAGGGCAAGUCUGGUGCCAGCAGCCGCGGUAAUUCCAGCUCCAAUAGCGUAUAUUAAAGUUGUUGCAGUUAAAAAGCUCGUAGUUGAAUUUCGGGAUCAAUAUGUCGGUCGUGCCUCGGUACGUACUGGCAUCAUUGGUUUCUCCCUUCUGAUGAACCAUGAUGCCAUUAAUUUGGUGUCGUGGGGAAUCAGGACUGUUACUUUGAAAAAAUUAGAGUGUUUAAAGCAGGCUCACGCUUGAAUACAUUAGCAUGGAAUAAUGAAAUAGGACGUUUGAUUCUAUUUUGUUGGUUUCUAGGAUCGACGUAAUGAUUAAUAGGGAUAGUUGGGGGCAUUAGUAUUCAAUUGUCAGAGGUGAAAUUCUUGGAUUUAUUGAAGACUAACUACUGCGAAAGCAUUUGCCAAGGAUGUUUUCAUUAAUCAAGAACGAAAGUUAGGGGAUCGAAGACGAUCAGAUACCGUCGUAGUCUUAACCAUAGACUAUGCCGACUAGGGAUCGGAUGAUGUUAAUUUUUUAAUGACUCAUUCGGCGCCUUACGGGAAACCAAAGUGUUUGGGUUC